RNAcentral lists this ribosomal RNA (440 nucleotides) under uncultured bacterium. RNAcentral describes it as "partial 16S ribosomal RNA". It matches the Rfam family "Bacterial small subunit ribosomal RNA", at positions 338 to 795 of the family's 1533-position model. The record is from RNAcentral.
CCUACGGGAGGCAGCAGUGGGGAAUAUUGCACAAUGGGGGAAACCCUGAUGCAGCGACGCAGCGUGAGUGAAGAAGUAAUUCGUUAUGUAAAGCUCUAUCAGCAGGGAAGAAAAUGACGGUACCUGAGUAAGAAGCCCCGGCUAACUACGUGCCAGCAGCCGCGGUAAUACGUAGGGGGCAAGCGUUAUCCGGAUUUACUGGGUGUAAAGGGAGCGUAGACGGCAGUGCAAGUCUGGAGUGAAAGGCGGGGGCUCAACCCCCGGACUGCUCUGGAAACUGUACGGCUGGAGUGCAGGAGAGGUAAGUGGAAUUCCUAGUGUAGCGGUGAAAUGCGUAGAUAUUAGGAGGAACACCAGUGGCGAAGGCGGCUUACUGGACUGUAACUGACGUUGAUGCUCGAAAGCGUGGGUAGCAAACAGGAUUAGAUACCCCGGUAGUC